CUCAAUAUAAGACGGUGAAGACAAGGGAGAGGAGCAGGAGCAAGAACUGUUGAGAGACCUUACCAUGGACCAGCCCACUCCAGCUGGCUUCUCUUUGUGCAGCUGUGUGAAAGCUGAGUUCUCGGGCAAUGCUGCCCUACAUGAAGAUUCAGAAGGAUUAAAGGAGUGAAGGAGAGCGAAUAAAAAGAGAACAUCUUCCCGUCUUCAUUGUUAGAUGACCUUGUGCCAUGGUGACUGUACAAACUGAAGUCCUAAAAUGAAUGAAGAGCUCUAGAUUCAAGAAUACCCUUCAGGUACUAGAAGGUGCUACAAGGUGUCCUCAGAGCAUUCUCUUCUCCAGGCUGAACAGCCUCCGCUCUCUCAGCCUGUACUCAUACAGGAGAUACUCCAGCCUUCUGACAACCUUUGUGGCCUUCCUGUGAACUCUCUCUAACAGGGCUAAAUCAUUUGAUGAUCUCUGCAGAAGCUUUACCUGUCUUCAUCUUCCUCUAAACCCAGACUAUUGAAAUAAUGUAUCUGAUAGUAGUUUCUUUGUAUACAGAUGUGGUUAGUCAGUCGUUAUUACAGACCAAAUAAAUAUAAUUAAAGUCAAAUUGAAAACAAUGGAAAAGCUGAAAGUUGAAUGCUAUGUUAACCUGCCUUGCUAGCCCAGAUCCUGAAUGAAAUCUUAAAAUUAAGAAGUAUCAUUUGUCUGGCUGUAAUUAUAUUUGACUAAUAGCAGAAAUUUAUUCUUGGUCUCAUUCAUUUUGGAUUAUCCCUAUUUGUAAAAUGAGCAAUUGAAAGGACCUUGAUCAAGAAUUUUUAAAUUUUUAAAUUGUUUGCUUUUUAAUGAGAGAAGAGAGAUCAAACAGUAAGCUAGCUAUACCUUAGAGAAAUGAAUAUGUUAAGGGAGUGCAAUGAUUAGGGAGAUUUUUAUCUGUGGAGAGGAGAGAAAUCUGAAACUGCUCAUUCAGAUUCCAGUCUACUUCACCUGUGCCACUUAGUGAGGAAAAAGCUUGAAUUUGUACACAGGAGAAAAACUUAAAUUUGUACACAGGAGAAAAUCUGCAUUCAUAUAAGCUGACUAAAAGUUCACUGUGAGGAAAUUUUCUGUGUUCUUUAUUGUAUAUUAUAAAUUUUUGAUUGGGUUAGAUCUAAUAAAUUGCAUCUGUGCAAACAAACAGUACAUACAUUCAGAUAAAAAGUGCAGAAUAUUCUCAGCGUUUCACUGGUGUGCAGUUAGGUGGCCCAUUAACACUUUUAUCAUGUGAGUGGCUGCCCCAUGGGAGCAUCAAAUGGUGAAAUCUGCAUUUUGGCCUAACAGGGCACUGAGUCACUCACCCAAAGAGAGAGCUGCAUAUUCCUCUCAACCACUCUUACACAUAUCUUUAAUAUCAGUCCUCUCCAUAGCACGCUCAUACUGUAUGUUAUGUUUUAUGAGUAAAACUUCCAGCCAUGGGAAUUUACAAUUAAAAUAAUCUUCACAUUUAGGGCAUUUCUGGUACUAGCUCUGACCCUCAUUAUCUUACUUCUGUUUAUGCCUCUUAGAUGUGAAACUGAAAUGGUUAGUUGUAUGUGGUAAAACAAGGAACAUCUAUUUCUAUUUUCAAAUGAUGAAACUUUCUGGUACUUUGGCUGGGACUGAACUUGAGGGUGGUAAAUUUUCAGCAUGGUAUGUAGGGAGUUAGCUACAUGUUACUCAUUAACAUUAAUUCCCAUCUGUAAAUAAUUUUGUAAUACUUUAACCAGCAGGGGAGCUAUUUCAUCUUUUAUACUUAGCUGAUUGUAAAAAUGUAUGCUGAAACCAUCUGGCCUUAGUGCUUUGUUGGACUUCAGGCUUUUAAUAGCCAGUCUGAUUUCCUUCGCUGAAUUGGGGUUUUCUAAUCCCUGGCUCAAUUCUCCGUCCAAACUAGGCAAUACUGUGUUGCUAUUUGUUUGUCAAUCAAUCCCUAUCUUACCAAUUGAGAUGAAUAACAGAGUUGUUAUAAAAACUUAGGAAGGCUUUGGGCCUAAUUCUCAUUCAUGCUAAAGUUACUUUACACUACUCCGGUUGCUCAUUUACUGAGUGUAAAUGCAAUUUACUGCCUGAGCAAUAUAAAGCGACUGUAACAUAAAUGAAAAUCAGGUCCCCUAUGUUCAGAGCAGCUAACAAGUUCAAAUUGCUGAGUACUAUUUUCCCACAGGAGCUAGUGUACUAGAAUUUCAAUGCAUAUAAAGAAUGCAACAAGCCAAUUAAAAAAUGAAGAUAUUAAACGAGAAAUUGAAUGGUUAUUUCUAAGCUCUGUUUAGAGACGGUUGAUCCAAACAAUGAGACUGACUUAGGCUGGCUGUUGCAAAUAUGCCAGCUUCAUCUAAAGUUCAGCCCUGUGUGGUGCUUGGAGAUUUGCCAUGGUACAUGGAACAGACCAUUCUUAUUACUUAAAGAAGGAGGACUACAUUUCAGAGGUGCAUGCAGGGCUUCCUGACUUACCUGAUAGCAUUUCCUUCCAAGGGACUGUCACUGAGAUUCAACAGUUGUUAACUACUGAUGCACAACAGUGUGUUUUGGUAAUGGUUGAAUGAGGAGAUAAUUGCAGAUAAUCUUGAGACUAUACCCACCACAAAUGCCAAAGCAGACACUGCUACCUCACUGCUUUUCCCAUUUAUGAAGUAAUGGUUUUUAUUGCCUAAAAUCUUUUAAAAAUGGAUCUGAGCCAAUGCUGGUCUAUAGGAAGGAAGAUAUUUGAUGGCAAGUAAGAGUGUGGAGUGGGCUAUUCCAGUUUAGACAGAGGUCAGUUAUUACCAUGCUCUCCUUAUACCUCUUACCCCUCUCUUACACCUGCAUAUGGAUAUCAGCAACUUCACUUUGAUGUGAAGUUCACAUUCCUGUCCCUCUCCUCCUUUUCUUUUGUUCUGCAGAAGAUACUUCAAUAAUCCACAUAGUAGUAAGGAGUUGUUCUAUUGUGGAAAUCACAGGCGCAAGAACACAAAUUUGUGGAUUGCUAAUACAUGAAUCCAUAUAUGUCAUAAUUGUCCUCUGUUCUGUUCACUACUUCAGACCUAUAAAUCUGUGCCUAUUCUUCUCUCACCAGCUGCUAGUCAGCUGAUUUUAAUCCUACCUUUACCUUGCUGAAGAGCACAGAGAAUGUAUUGAUAUAACAUCUUAUACAAUGAUUAAUAGCGUUCUGGGGCUGCUAAAUAACAGCCUGGUUGUCUAACGAGGGACUGUGUUAAGGUGUGCACACCACAGCCCAGACCAUUCCUUUGCUUCAGCAGCAUUCUCAGAUACCAUUCUGUCUUUGAAGUACUCCUCAUGAUGAGCAGCUCCUGAGGCUUGAUUCUGUGAAGGAAAACCCAUGUGGUUCCUGUCCUGAAGAAGCAGAUAUGUUCCUGUUGCACAAAUAAACAUCAACACUUUGUCCAUUUAAAAGUGACUUUUGUACUUUUCUAAGGAAGACCUGUGCCUAAAAUUACUUCUCUGAUUUUUAAAUGAAACAUAAAAUUCAGCCUAUUGCUCCUAUAAGUAGGCAAAAGGCUUUGUGCUUAUUGUUGCUAAUAAACAGAAACCUCUUAUUCUUUGACACUGAGCAUUGUGACUUACACCACUGUAAUCAAUAGUGGAAUAUUUUCCUAGUCCUCAGUUCAGAUAAAUCAGUGUAAGUACUAAAAUAUUUUUGAGAUGUUGUUCCUUCUAUCGUAACUUUACAUUUUGC
Molecule: non-coding RNA, 3671 nt
Organism: Cyanistes caeruleus (blue tit)
Lineage: Eukaryota; Metazoa; Chordata; Aves; Passeriformes; Paridae
Source: RefSeq, a predicted model, not a curated record